This 76-nucleotide transfer RNA is filed under the name Xanthomonas campestris pv. campestris. RNAcentral's name for it is "tRNA-Gly". It matches the Rfam family "tRNA". From Rfam's summary of the family: Transfer RNA (tRNA) molecules are approximately 80 nucleotides in length. Their secondary structure includes four short double-helical elements and three loops (D, anti-codon, and T loops). The record is from RNAcentral. Lineage: Bacteria; Pseudomonadati; Pseudomonadota; Gammaproteobacteria; Lysobacterales; Lysobacteraceae.
GCGGGAAUAGCUCAGUUGGUAGAGCGCAACCUUGCCAAGGUUGAGGUCGCGAGUUCGAGUCUCGUUUCCCGCUCSA